UCCCUGAUGGUUCAGUGGUUAAGACUCUGUGCUUUCACUGCGGAGGGCCAGGGUUUGAUCCCUGGUUGGGGAA
RNAcentral lists this transfer RNA (73 nucleotides) under Bos taurus (domestic cattle). It matches the Rfam family "tRNA". Rfam says of the family: Transfer RNA (tRNA) molecules are approximately 80 nucleotides in length. Their secondary structure includes four short double-helical elements and three loops (D, anti-codon, and T loops). Lineage: Eukaryota; Metazoa; Chordata; Mammalia; Artiodactyla; Bovidae. The record is from Rfam by way of RNAcentral. RNAcentral also lists the same sequence under 5 other names.